CACACACACACAAACAAACAAUUACAAUAAUCAACCAUGAUAAACAACAACUAGCUUAAACAGAUAAUCCAUAACUGAUACAGCUAAAUCUUACACUAUCAAUUUUUUCUAUGAAACCAAUAAUUGUGUAGAAUUAUUGGCAAUUUAUUUCUUACACAAUGGUAAAGUGUAAUUAGCAAUAAAUAAAUAAAUGAAAACUUGGAAGUGAUGUGAUAAAGGGAACACAGCACCUGCCCUGUACCGGGUGCCAAAACAUCUUUUGAGAAUUACUCAUUUUCAUAUUUAUUCAUUU
RNAcentral lists this unclassified non-coding RNA (292 nucleotides) under Hevea brasiliensis (rubber tree). Lineage: Eukaryota; Viridiplantae; Streptophyta; Magnoliopsida; Malpighiales; Euphorbiaceae. The record is from RNAcentral.